GUAUUGGCCUAUCUUCAAAAGACUAUUAAGCCACGCUCUGGGAUACUAAAGUGCAAUACGUGAAUGUUUCAUCACUGAAUCGUUAUAGACCAAACACAGACUGAAGUACAACAUGAAUGUGUGUGAAGCAGAGCGCCUGCGAUACACUGAUCCUUCACAAGAGGCUGCUGUCUCUCCGCCAAACGCUCCGAGUCUCCCAUAGGAUCAUGGAAAAUCUGGCCUUGUCUUAAGAAACAGUGAGGAAGUAGAAGGAAGUGGAGGAAGCUUUAACGGAGGCCGGAUUGCCUGUGUGGACCCCAGCUUGCCAAACGUAGGGGCUCGUGGACUGCCCCCUUCUCCUCCACAUUUCUAGGAGGAGGUGCCUUCAAA
Molecule: long non-coding RNA, 369 nt
Organism: Rhinichthys klamathensis goyatoka
Lineage: Eukaryota; Metazoa; Chordata; Actinopteri; Cypriniformes; Leuciscidae
Exons: 2
Source: RefSeq, a predicted model, not a curated record